UGAACUUCUGUGUAUGCACCAUGUUUAAUUACAUGACCACACACAUUCUGUUUGACAGUGCUCAGAACAGGCAAACACGUACUAAGGCAUGACUUCUGCUGUUGUAGGCAAGCUGAUAAUACUGCAUAUUGCAAAAGUUGCUCAGUAUAAACUAUGCCAAAAUGCUGCUUUCAGUUAUGUUCUUCUUUAGAUAAUAACCUUGAACAGAACUCCUGCUUUGUACGUAUACAUCCCUGCACUGUUUUAAGCUGGAGUGGAUCUAGGUCCAGACUGGAGCAAAUCAGGGAAUCUGUGGCAUGUGCUCUUUCUUACGCCCAGGAAACAAGGAAGAGGGGUUGUCCUUCUGGAAUGCAGAGGGAAAUGAAGGCAAACAUAUAUAAAGAAGUGUAUUUAAAUUGAAGGAACAAACUGGGACAUGAGAAGAGAGGAAUGGACAGUAGGGAUAACAGAACUGUGCUUGCAUUUGUGAAGAUGAAAGGAGAAAGAACAUGGGUGCUUUUGAUGAAGUAAAAUCAGUCCCUCAUAUGUUUACAUUUAAUUACAAGAUUACUCUGUUUUUCCGCAGAAUUCCUACCUCAUGCAGGAGGCACAUAAUGAGUAGCUAUUAAAUACAUUGCUUUACCCUUAUCAUAUGUGGCCCAAAGCCCUACUUACUGCAGACGUUUUAUAUUCUUGUCCAAAGGCAGAGUUAUUCAUUUCUUCGGAAAUUUUUGUAAUGCCUGUUUCUCUAACUUUUUCAACAACGCAAAUUCCAGUGUUUCCUAACUUAAAGUGCAGUCUUAAUAUUCUUUUAACGUCAUUGUGUAUAAUUAUAGGUAUGCAUGUGUAUUUAUACGGUGUAAUGUGAACAAACAAAUAGGUGUAUAUAAAGGUUCUUAAAACUUUGUUCUGUAAGCUGUGAGAAACACAAAGUUAUGUGAGGGCACAAAGAGCUCUAAUAGUGACUGGCAAGAAGAGAAAGCAAAGAUAUUCUGUACUAUUUUUAACCAUUGUGUUACAUCAUGCAAUUUUGCAGAGAUUAGUCACCAUAUCAAAACGUUGAUGGAAAUAAUAGUGAAAAGGAGUUGGCGAACUUCAAACGCAUAUGAGGUAACUCUGUAAGAGUUACAAAUGACUUCUGGCAUUUUAAGGUGAAAUGGAAAAACUACAGCCAUAAUACCUCUUUUCUGAUGUUUAUUAUUAUUGUUGUUGUUUUAUUUUAUUUUUAAUACCUCAUUGCAAUAUGAUGAUAUAAGUGGAAAUUUUAUGGGCAUGUACAGGAGUUGGAUAGAGUAGAAUUGCAUCAGUUACUGUCAAGUAGUUUUGUCAUUUUAAGUAUUUUCACUUGUGUGGUCCCAAGCGGCCAGGGCCCCUUGCUUGUGAGUGCCCAAGGGAGGAACAGUCAAGAGUAUGAUGAGCUGAGCUGUUUCCAGUAGUGAGUUCCAGGAACUGCUCUGUGUCAAAUGUCUUUGUCAGUUAAAAUGAAAGGCAAGGGGGAAAAAAAAGAACAGUUUGGACAUAUCUUUUUUUCUUUCGAGAGCAAAAUAGUUUCAACAAAUUUGAAUGGUUCAUUUCUAGAAAAUUACUGCCCUGCAUCUUAAUUAAAUUACUUGAUUUGUCUAUCUUACUUCACAUAUCCAACACUUACAUUUAUUUGCUGUUUUUUUUCAGUGGGGCUAAAAUGAAUGGAAACAAAUAAAGCACAACACAGGAACAGUGAGGAAGUAGAUGAAACCUGGUCAUGAGGAUAUGAAUUAUUAUUGAACUCAGCAAAAGUAUAUGCAACAUCUUGAUAUCAUCUAGACCUACAGAGUUGACAAGAAGCUACAGAGUUGACAAGAAGCUAACUGGAGAAACAUGAUCUUCUUUUCACCUUUAUUAAUCUGUC
Gallus gallus (chicken) is the source of this 1867-nucleotide long non-coding RNA. The record is from Ensembl. NCBI's taxonomy places the organism in Eukaryota, Metazoa, Chordata, Aves, Galliformes, Phasianidae.